GGCAGAGAGACAGCAUUAAUGUAAACCUUAGACUGUUUCCAAUUGCAUGUAGACUAGACUUCUACAGCAAGGCACGAUGAAGCAACUUUAACUCAUUUUUUUAUCCCUUUGUCAUCAGACAUGCAGGUUCCCACCAUUGAGAAGUCCCACAGUAGUCCUGGGAGCUCAAAAUCAUCAUCUGAAGGCCAUCUCCGAUCUCACGGACCAUCUCGCAGUCAAAGCAAAACCAGUGUCGCCCAGACCCACCUGGAAGAUGCAGGGGUGGCCAUAGCCGCAGCUGAAGCCGCUGUGCAACAACUCCGCAUUCAACCAAGUAAAAGACGCAAA
RNAcentral lists this long non-coding RNA (327 nucleotides) under Rattus norvegicus (Norway rat). Its description in RNAcentral is "long non-coding RNA NONRATT021157". Lineage: Eukaryota; Metazoa; Chordata; Mammalia; Rodentia; Muridae. The record is from RNAcentral.